GGGAGUGAAUGGGGAACUGGUGUCCCUCGCGGACUUCAAAUCCGUUGUUGCGUGCUAAUCCCACGCUGGGUGGGUUCGAUUCCCACACAUUCCCGCCA
Molecule: transfer RNA, 98 nt
Filed under: Candidatus Latescibacterota bacterium
Lineage: Bacteria; Pseudomonadati; Candidatus Latescibacterota
Description: tRNA-Sec
Rfam family: Selenocysteine transfer RNA
Source: RNAcentral